GUGGGGAAUUUUGGACAAUGGGGGCAACCCUGAUCCAGCCAUCCCGCGUGUGCGAUGAAGGCCUUCGGGUUGUAAAGCACUUUUGGCAGGAAAGAAAUCGCACGGGAUAAUACCUCGUGUGGAUGACGGUACCUGCAGAAUAAGCACCGGCUAACUACGUGCCAGCAGCCGCGGUAAUACGUAGGGUGCAAGCGUUAAUCGGAAUUACUGGGCGUAAAGCGUGCGCAGGCGGUUCGGAAAGAAAGAUGUGAAAUCCCAGGGCUUAACCUUGGAACUGCAUUUUUAACUACCGGGCUAGAGUGUGUCAGAGGGGGGUGGAAUUCCGCGUGUAGCAGUGAAAUGCGUAGAUAUGCGGAGGAACACCGAUGGCGAAGGCAGCCCCCUGGGAUAACACUGACGCUCAUGCACGAAAGCGUGGGGAGCAAACAGGAUUAGAUACCCUUGUAGGUCC
This 451-nucleotide ribosomal RNA is filed under the name uncultured bacterium. Its description in RNAcentral is "partial 16S ribosomal RNA". It matches the Rfam family "Bacterial small subunit ribosomal RNA", at positions 354 to 796 of the family's 1533-position model. The record is from RNAcentral.